This is an RNA transcript of Phoenix dactylifera (date palm), 1405 nucleotides long. It is a transcript of the gene named Acyl-CoA N-acyltransferases (NAT) superfamily protein, with no coding region annotated. The record is from RefSeq and is a predicted model, not a curated record. NCBI's taxonomy places the organism in Eukaryota, Viridiplantae, Streptophyta, Magnoliopsida, Arecales, Arecaceae.
GCCACUUUUUGGUGGUCGGGCGCAUUCGGAUGGAGCUGUGUCUUCUUGGAAAAUGGCGGCCACUGCCUCUCUGUCCUCGAUCUCCUUUGCCUCCCUCCACUUCUUCCCCAGCCCCCAAACCCCGAAGAGGCGAAGAAAACCCCCACCUGUCUCCAUCUCCACGAACCCCUCCCUCGUCGAUCCUCUCCAGCUCCAAGAUCUCUUCCGCUCUGCCAAUUUCUCAUGCCACCGCUUCCCGGCCCUCGCCGCCGACGGCCGCGCGGAGCCCGUCGAUCCAGGCAAGCUCCAGAUCGCCCUCGCCCACAGCUUCGCCGUCGUCUCCGUCUUCUGCCGGCCCAAAUACUUGGUCGAGGAUGAUCAAAAUGAGAUCUUGGGAGCUGGGAUCGCAAAUUUUUUCGAGAGGGCGUUGCCGGUGCCGGAAUCGGAUGGCCGAUUGGUGGGGUUUGGCCGGGCGGUGUCGGAUGGGGGACUGACGGCUUCGAUCCAUGACGUUGUGGUUAUUCCUUCAUUACAGAGACGGGGUAUUGGUCGAAAAAUAGUUGAAAGAAUGAUAAGAAUGCUAAUUCAUCCAAUAGGUUGAGAACUGCAAAAACUAUAAUCAAAACUUUUCCAGCUGUUAACUCCCGCAUCUGCAAACAGAGCUUACCCCUCUCUUCCACACUUUCAAAAAGGAUUCUCACCAGCAAAGGCAUAUACGAUAUGUCUGCCUUGUGCACAGAAAAGGAGAGACAUAUAAAGUCUAGCUACAUAUAGCAUAUGGAAAAAUUUUUCAGGUUAUUUUUUAAAGCAUGCGGAUUUGGAGAGGAUUCUCUAGGGUCUACUACAAUGAUGUAUACGCGAUCUGCCUCGAGUUACCUGCAAGGCAAUCUCAUGGUCAGACCUGCUGGUAGGAUGCUGCUUUUGGUUCCACCCUCUCGAGAACUGAUGAAUGAAGCUCACGCAGAAGUUUCAUGAGCCAUCAGCAAAGACAGGAGCAUGCAAGGCCCUACAUGUUUUUGAGUCAAAUUAUGACACCUUGUCAUUAAUUUUAAGAAAGCAGAGGACAGGUGAGGAGGACUCUCAAUGGCAGAACAUGAUCUCACUUUUGGUGACAGUUAUACAAACAAGAAAUUAAGACCAUGAUGAGGAUGGAUCAAACUUUCACUCUAUUGGAACUUUGUGAAAAACAAAUCCAACAUAUUCUAUUCUAUCAUCUGACUUCAUUUUUUUUUGUUUCCUUAAAAAUUCUGAAUCUAAUCCUCCUUGUCCAAGGACGUAAUUUCUGUGCGCUUUCAAUUCUUCUGUUUCCAACACUCAUAUAUUAGCAUAUGAUUCUUUGUAUGAAAAGGGUAAUUGGCUCCUCUAAAAGAGCUUAUCUAGUAGGUAGGAACCUACUUGUUAUCAAGAAAAGCACUGUUCUUUGUCA